UCCGGCUUAUCACCGGCAGUCCCACUAGAGUGCCCAACUUAAUGAUGGCAACUAAUGUCAAGGGUAGGUAAGGUUUUUCGCGUUGCAUCGAAUUAAACCACAUCAUCCACCGCUUGUGCGGGCCCCCGUCAAUUCCUUUGAGUUUUAAUCUUGCGACCGUACUCCCCAGGCGGAUGACUUCGCGCGUUAGCUGCGUUACUAAGGGAUUUAACUCCCCCAACAACUAGUCAUCAUCGUUUAGGGCGUGGACUAC
Molecule: unclassified non-coding RNA, 253 nt
Filed under: uncultured Gammaproteobacteria bacterium
Lineage: Bacteria; Pseudomonadati; Pseudomonadota; Gammaproteobacteria
Description: contains 16S-23S intergenic spacer region
Source: RNAcentral